Molecule: non-coding RNA, 21 nt
Filed under: Caenorhabditis elegans
Lineage: Eukaryota; Metazoa; Nematoda; Chromadorea; Rhabditida; Rhabditidae
Source: RNAcentral
UCCCAUUGAUUUUUUUUUGAA